This 253-nucleotide ribosomal RNA is filed under the name uncultured bacterium. Its description in RNAcentral is "partial 16S ribosomal RNA". It matches the Rfam family "Bacterial small subunit ribosomal RNA", at positions 524 to 776 of the family's 1533-position model. The record is from RNAcentral.
GACGGAGGAUGCAAGCGUUAUCCGGAAUGAUUGGGCGUAAAGCGUCCGCAGGUGGCAGUUCAAGUCUGCUGUCAAAGACCGGGGCUCAACCCCGGGAAGGCGGUGGAAACUGUUGAACUAGAGGGUCGUAGGGGUAGAGGGAAUUCCCAGUGUAGCGGUGAAAUGCGUAGAGAUUGGGAAGAACAUCGGUGGCGAAGGCGCUCUACUGGACGGCAACUGACACUCAGGGACGAAAGCUAGGGGAGCGAAUGGG